Molecule: long non-coding RNA, 1123 nt
Filed under: Sus scrofa (pig)
Lineage: Eukaryota; Metazoa; Chordata; Mammalia; Artiodactyla; Suidae
Description: lncRNA (ENSSSCG00070007749.1)
Source: RNAcentral
CUGGGGUUUAAAAUGGAACUAUUACUUCUGAAUAUUGGAAGUUUCUCAUUAAGUAAGCCAUACAUGUACUCGAUGACCCAGUACUUUUCAGUUCUAGGUAUUUUAUGCAAGAUACACAAAUGUAUGUCAAAAAAACUUGUAUGAGAAUAUUUAGAACAGCUUUAUUCAUAAUUAUUUCAAAUUGCAAACCACCUAAAUGAUCAUUGUCAUGGUCCGUGCAUUUGGGUUAGAAAAAGAAUUUUCCUGAUUCAUAGCAGGGUGAAAAGAAAGAUGAGUUUACUGAGAUAAGAAAUGCUGCUAGCAUAGUGGGAUGACUUCCUGAUGAUCAGAGAGAGCUGAAUCUGAGCGUGUGAUCAUGUCUGUUUUAUAGUCUAGGGGGAGGAAAGGUCUUAGUGUACACUUGCUGAUAGGCUGAUUGGUUAGGGAAAGAGGGUCUUACGAUACACUUGCUGGUUUGUUGGGGGCAUAUAAGGUCCUUAUAGAGGUGGGGGAAGAGUGGGCCUUUCAUAGUAGGGGUCAGGAAGGACUAGGACAGUUGCUCAAGUUGGGAGGGGGCACUACAAUGAGAUGGAUGGGGCAAUGAUAAGGAUCUAGUAAUUCUUUUUGGGGGGUCUAGUAAAUCUUUAAUUUUUUUUUUAACUUUUUUUACUUUUUAGGGCUGCACCCACUGCAUAUGGAAGUUCUCAGGGUGAAAUCAGAGCUGCAGCUGCCAGCCCACACCACAGUAACAGCAACUCAGGAUCUGAGCCAUGUCUGCAACAUACACCACAGCUCACAGCAAUGCUGGAUCCUUAACCCACUGAGCAAGGCCAGGGAUCAAACCUGCAUCCUCUGGAGUUCCCAUUGUGGCACUGCAGAAAUGAAUCUGACUAGGAACCAUAAAGUCCCACAACCAUCAACAGACUAAUUGGAUGCCCAUAACCAAAACAAAACAAAACAAAGCAAAAACCCAGCACAACCAGAUCAUCUGAGAAAUCCAUCCAUCACUGCAACCAGAAGAGAGUGGAUCGGACCUUAUCAGUGCCUACAAGAGUCAAGGUAGUCACAGUGGUAACAAUGGCAGUAGAGGCAGCUGGUGGACGAUCCAGCAGAGGUGACUGAAAAUGAAAUUCUCUCUGGCUGC